CACUCCUGCGGGAGGCAGCAGUGGGGAAUAUUGCACAAUGGGCGCAAGCCUGAUGCAGCCAUGCCGCGUGUAUGAAGAAGGCCUUCGGGUUGUAAAGUACUUUCAGCGGGGAGGAAGGCGAUAAGGUUAAUAACCUUGUUGAUUGACGUUACCCGCAGAAGAAGCACCGGCUAACUCCGUGCCAGCAGCCGCGGUAAUACGGAGGGUGCAAGCGUUAAUCGGAAUUACUGGGCGUAAAGCGCACGCAGGCGGUCUGUCAAGUCGGAUGUGAAAUCCCCGGGCUCAACCUGGGAACUGCAUUCGAAACUGGCAGGCUAGAGUCUUGUAGAGGGGGGUAGAAUUCCAGGUGUAGCGGUGAAAUGCGUAGAGAUCUGGAGGAAUACCGGUGGCGAAGGCGGCCCCCUGGACAAAGACUGACGCUCAGGUGCGAAAGCGUGGGGAGCAAACAGGAUUAGAUACCCUAGUAGUCCCAU
Molecule: ribosomal RNA, 473 nt
Filed under: uncultured organism
Description: partial 16S ribosomal RNA
Rfam family: Bacterial small subunit ribosomal RNA
Source: RNAcentral